AUUCAUACAACAUAUGAUCGGAAGAAUAAUUGUCAAAUUCUUGCUCUAAGACGUUCUUCAGCAGCUCGAUACUUUUAAAGAGACUUCUUUCCUUCUCACUUGGGAGUGAAAGCCUGAAAGAUAAUUAGAACAAUAUGAUAGUGGUAUAUAGCAGGUGGAUCGAGUUUGAGAGUGGUGGGCUUACAGCAAAAAUAGUGGCGUGACCGGGAUCAGCCAGGUGAGCGAAGAGGUUGUCGAUAGGUCCUGUUCCGGUGUAGAUGUGUUGGAACCAUGCACCCAUAACUGCAAGCAUGGCUAAUCUUCCGUUCUUGAUCUCCUUGGUUCUCAACUCCUUGAUCUUUUCAGGAGAACCAGAUCCCCAACCGAGUGGGUCGAACCAUAAGCCACCUGGAUAGCCUACGUCAGUCCCGGUGAGCUUGUUGUUGGGGAAGAUGGGGUCUGUGUUCACGCAUCCAGGCUUGAUGAUGUCAGCCCACCGCCUUCCCUCAGCCCAGCCGAUGAGAAUCAACUCGAUGACGAAGAGCGUGGUUGUGUCAGUGAAGUACUCUUGCUCGCCAGCAGUGUACCACGAAGGCGUGUUCAGAAUUCCGAUCUUCGUGAGGAACUCCGGGAUGAAAAUACCCGCAGCCCCCAACAUCGCCCAUCUGCAGUGCACAAUCUCCGCUUGCUGGUUCCAUUUCAAGCUCUCGGGAUCAGAUGCUGUCAAUAUAAUGAUUGACCGAGGAUGGAGAACGUCAGAUCUAUGUCUAUUUUGGAGCCCGGAUUAAUUCAGAAACUACUCGGCUAGAUUUUACUUACCAAGACCGAGGGGAUCAAAACCAAAGUCUCCAGGGAGGCUGCCAUCGAGCCAUGGAGGAGGGGUGCUGCCUGGGAACCAGAGGGGUCGGUUGGGAUCAGCCGUAGCACAAACAGUAAAAGAUCGCGACGUGGCAGGGGCCGAGUACUUGCUCACUCUCAGCUUUCUCCCCGAGAGGAAAGACGCCUUUGUCUGGGAACUGCACAGGUGAAAAACAUCAAACCAGCGAGGGGAUUAGUCACUGUGUCCGACGGUGGAAACCCUAAAGAUCAGUACUCAAAACACUACAAAACUAUGAUCAUUCACACAAACAAAUCACAAAGAUUAAUGCUUUCAUGCUAUAGACAUGUAUGUUUAAGCAACGAUAUGAUCGGCCUUGCCUCGGGGACGAGAAUGCAGCGGCCGCAAUGGUGGACGAAGCAGCACAGGCAGAUGCCAUGUCGACAGAUUUCUGUACAAUGCAAUUGCAAGGUAUGAUUGUUGUGUUGUGUGUGGAAAGAAAUGAGAAAGGCUUAAACACUGAGAAGAUGAUAUUGAAGAGAAGGGGCUUAUCCUGAUGGAUAGGGAGGUGAAUAUGUGAUUGGGUUUCUGAAUUGCCAUGUGGCAUGCAGAAUCUAUUGUGUACCCAAAUAAUCUCAAUCUUGUGGUUCAUAUUCAACACUUGCUAUAUAUGCCUGAUAUUGAUAUGCUUCAAUUGUCUC
Long non-coding RNA from Ipomoea triloba (trilobed morning glory), 1497 nucleotides. RefSeq lists it as uncharacterized. Lineage: Eukaryota; Viridiplantae; Streptophyta; Magnoliopsida; Solanales; Convolvulaceae. The record is from RefSeq and is a predicted model, not a curated record. The transcript has 2 exons.